CGGCGGCGGUGCAGCUCCAGUGACGACGGUGCAUGGCGGGACAGCGUUCCUCUCUUCCUCGAGCUCUCCCUCUCACUGGCGCUCAAGGACGACGGCGACGGUGGCUUCAAUGGCGGCGGUUGCAGCUCGCGACGACAGAGACGCUCCUCCGCGACGGUGCAGUUGGCAACGAUGGGCAUGAACGGCAGCAGCGACCUCCCUCUCUUCUCCGCAUCAGUGUAGGUGCGUGUGUGUGGGGAUGAGCGACGGCGUGAGGGUGAGCGAGGGGAGUGCGUCCGUGAGUGUGUGUUUCUACGAAGAGGGUGUGUGAGGAGCGGGGGUGGGAGUUCGACGGCUAGUGAGGGACUGAGGGUUGAGAGAGAGUGUUUUUGUGUGAUUAGGGUUAGGGAAAAAGUAAAGGAAGAGUGGCCCACAAAUUUGUGUUUUUUUUUUGAGCUAUUACAUUCUUCCCUCCUUUAGAAAUUCGGUCCCCGAAUUUCAAACCAACUUACUAUUUAUUUUGCCUCUUCGGCAGUACAAGUCACAUCUAUUUCGUACAACUAGACCCUGAUGCAAGAAAUGAUGCAUUUAGGAAUAAGGAAAGAAAACAACAUUGAGACAACCUUAUCCGAAAGAAGUAUGACCACAUCAUGACACCAUAAGUUUAAUAAUUUGCACAAAUAGAUAGCAAGAAUAAGGCUAAAAAUCAAGCUAUCUGAGCAAAGUUGCAGGAAAGAACUUAAGCACUUUAACUAUACAAUAUUAUAUCCAGAUACAAAUUGAACCCAAUGCAUAAAGAAAAACUUUUUGCAGAUAUUAUGCAACGAUCAAAUGCUGUACAUUUUCUUAAUAUUCACAUAUACAAUGUAACAAAAGGAAUCGAUAUGAAGCACCAUCAAUCACAAAGAACAAAUUGCAUAAUUAGAAUGAUAUGAAAAAUUUCAAAAGCACACUACAAACUCUAAUUGGAGUUCAAAUAACAUAGCCAAAAGUGUAAAACAUAUAGAGUAACACAAAUUCCAACAAUACACCCAAAACAUAAAGCAAUAAUUAAAAAGCACAGUUAUAUGAGAUUCCAAGAGUUCGAGUUCAAUUAUGUGGUGGAUAAGGAUGAGAAAAAAGAGAGGCAAGGUGAAGAAUUAAGCAUAAUAUAUAUGGCCAGAUUCUAGAUUUAGAGACAAAUAUAACCACCACAUCAAACCAAGCAUGCAAGAUAUAGCCAUCAAAACAUUUUCAAAUCAUAUUAUGCAUAUUAACCUUAAAUGUCAAGUGAUAAGAGGUAGGAAGGUUAAACAGAAGGAAGGAAUUUAAUCGAUCUACAAGGCUCUUUAAGGGCAUUGUGAAAGCAGCAUAUUAGUAUGAAUAGUUUCGCUUACUCAAACAUAGCAUUGUUCCUAGCCAUCCUUUAGGUUAGCAAUCGACAAUCCCAAAUAAUAAACUAACAAAUGUGCUACAUAUACACCAAUUGAUAAACAAACAAAAUGCCAUUAGUUGGGAAACAAUACCACUAAUCUAGCAAAGUUUUGAAUUUCAUUACUCAACCACCAUUACAAUGCAGCGCACUCAAGGAGUAAUAGAACCACGGAUUUAGUGAAGCUCAAGAAUAUCGACAGGCGACAACAUAUUUCAAUUAGUUGCAAUCAUGAGCAACUUGAAACCAGCAAAGUGAUGUCUCAAAAAAAGUCAUACAACAUAGGAUCAGUUAAGCAGCAGACUAAUGAAUCAAUGUGACUGCCUCAAAAAUUUGAUCAUGUUAAGAACUUUGCAAAGCCUAUAUAUCUUUGGAAGAAAAAUGGUUGAUACAACCAUUUAAAAUAAAUUUUACUUAGAUCAUGAUGUGCAAAUUUAAAGAAUAAUAGUACAACUGAUAAUCAAACCCUUAACGUAUGAAGAAAUGUCAACCUACGAUGUGGGCUAUGAACUAAGGCAAAAUACUAGUAGUAAAACAGUUGAUUUUCAGAAUUUCUAACAGACAAUAUUCAAAAUACACUGUGAUUGUUACCAAGGAAAAAUUUGGCCAAAAAGAAACAACUUAACACAAAACCCUCAAUGCAGAGACUCUUUAAUCAAUUAAAAUCUUUAUUGGGCAAACAAAGUAGAAUCCGCGACAUAGUUAGAUAAUCAACAAAACCAUGGGGUAAUAGAAAAUAUUGAUUCUGCAAAUGAAACAAAAUCAGAAAAAGAACCCCCCCUUUUUUUUUUUUGAAACCAUCAGUAAGAAAGAGUAACUUAAUACAAAGCCAGCUACUAAAUAUCACCAAAAUUCAAAACUAUAUAACAAAAACAACAAUCCUAUUAGCCAAGAUAAUCCAGCCAAAAGUACAAAACUAAUUUAUCUCACUGCCUUUCACUAUUAAAACAAAUGAAUCAAAGCUCAACAGGCUGUAAAAGGACAAGCUGAUAAAUUUAUUACACUAGAGCACAUAGUCUGUAAUCACACAAUCACCAGAAGCAUAUAAAGCAUCUGCACCCAAUAAGCAAUGAUAGAUCUGAAUCAAACAUCCAUUCGCAAUUCAAUUCAUUUCACAACCAUCAUUUGAGAAAAUUAUAUAGUAACAAAAAUAGUUUAUUGACAAAAACAUUUAUGAUGCUUGGCAUUACUUAAAAACCAAAGAAAUCGUCGGUGUGUCACUACAAAGUAACACAACACAGCUUUCAAAAUACGUACAAAAAUAUAAUUGUAACUUUGUAAGGGCAAAGGCCAUAGAGGUAAAUAAAAAGAUGUACCACCACAACUAAAACCACGGGCUAGGAGCAUUUUAAGGGAAAAAAAAUAAAAAAAAACAAGCCAAAUCCACAAACAAUUUGGGCAGAGCAAAAUAAAAAUUCACGAGUAUGAAUAAUAGACAUAAAAAAGGUUUUGCAUGUACAACAACCAUUUAAACUAGAGAAAAGGGAAGAAAAAAAAACAUAAUUAGACACGGCAUGUGAACAGAUAAGCUAAACCCAUAAAUAAAGCAAAGCAAAAUGAACAUUCAUCAGAAAAUUGUAAAAAAUGUGCCACUCUAAAGAUAGAAACACGAUAAUCCUAUAUAUAAGAAACCGUCACAUAACACAGAUUAUAUGAUAAGCACAAUACUUGAUAGUUUUGACAUGUUAAAAAUUAAUUAGGUUUUUUUUUUUUUAAAAACAAUGUAGAAAAAAGAAAAAUAAACAAGGCAAGGUCAUUAAACAUUUUUUUAUUGAGAAUGUGAAUGCAAUACUAAACAUUUUUACAUAAAUCUUAUAGUGCUGACUAGAGUAACUAACUUUUACGUUAAGCAUCAUAUAAUGGACCACCAAUGAGAUAAUAUUGAGUAAACUUUAGAACAACAUGCGGAGAGAGUUGGAACAACUUUCCUAGUCAAUAAAAUAAUUAAUUUUGAAGGGAAAAAAUUCAGAUGCUCAAGUGUGUCGCAAAAGUAUUGUACAGAUCACAAGUUUAUCAUGACAAACUUCAAUUCGAAAUUAUCAAGUCCUCAUCGUAUCAAAGAAAUCAAAACAUUUAUUAAUCCGCCAUAUAUAACUACAAAUCAGGCAUAUAAUCUCCAACAACAACACAAGCAAUUAAGAGGGUUUAUUACCGCCUUUCAAUAGAAAUUUUUACAAGAUAAUAACCAAGAUUACCUAGUUACAGUCACAUCAGUCACCAAUUCAGCAACAAAUAAUAAGAUUAACUCCUAUACAGCAGCAAAAAACUAAUAACCUUAUGGAUCUCUCAAAUAAUUAACCAAAAUCAUUUACUUGUUAAUUACUGUAAUAAUCACUAAUCAAAUGACAUGAAUCAGCAAACAAGUAUCUAAUCAGUGGCUACCACUCAUAAGCAAGCUACAAUUUAUCACAUUUAAAAUAAUCAUCAAAUUCUUCAUAAUCACCAUGAUCAGUCCACAAGCUCAGCAAACAAGCCUAUAAAAUUAGAAAUCACAUAUAAUCUAAGAGACGUAUUCACUUAAUAACAUAUAAACAAGAAGAUUCUACCUGAGUGAAGCUCAAAUGUGUUUUUCAUACAACCAGUUAUACUAAGUAUAGAACUUUAGCACUCAAUUUGGUUAACAUCCAAAUAUUAAUAUCAACUAUGGAAAUUUCAAUGAUCUUGGACAAAGACAAAACUUUCUCAAAGAAACUCAUGCUGUGGAUUUAGUCUCUUUAAAAUCAAUUAUCUAUCAUCCGUAUUAUAGUUAGCAAACUUAUUUAACAUUUGUUUAACUAGAAACUAAAUAAACACACAUUUCAAACGGAUCAUAACAAUUAAAGAUCGAACAGAACCUAAAAGAAUAUAAUGAUUUAAUGUCUUAAAGUAGAUGAAAGUGGGACUAAAUAUCAAUUCAUAUUAUGUACCAUUACUCAAAACAUUCUAUUUCGAUGAAAAAAUUUCACAAACUUUAAAUCUAUUAGAGAAUAAGUCGAGAUUGGGUACAAAGGGAAGGAAAAGAGUCGCAAGAAGCGGCAGGAAAGGAAAAAGUAGCAAGAAGAGGCUGGAAAGGAAAAGAGUGGCAAGAAACGGCAGAGGCCAUAUGUUACAACCAGAUGACAACAACGACAUAAAGGACAAGAAUGACAAUCCUAUAGGCCUCUGAUAGUGCCACAAUUCGUACAAAUAGGCGCGCUUCUAUUUAUACAAUUGUGAUCCUACCAUAGGACACUUGCUCCAUAUUACACAGAUUAAACCUAAGCUCUUAUACCACUCUGUCACAACCCAAAAUGAGUCAUGACUGGCGCUCAGGAAAAUAAUCCUAUAGCAAGCCUAACAUAGUCAAAUAUAUGUUCAAUAAGCAAGUACAUAUAUUUUACAAGUUCUAAAAUAAAUAGUUAUAUAUUUUUAACAAAAAAAUAAAUAAAUAAAAUAAAAUAACUAAGAAUGGUUGGUCCUACCUGUGACAUAUGGAGCAUAUACUUCUAGGAAUUGACAAAGAAUAGGUACUCAUUGCAGACNNNNNNNNNNNNNNNNNNNNNNNNNNNNNNNNNNNNNNNNNNNNNNNNNNNNNNNNNNNNNNNNNNNNNNNNNNNNNNNNNNNNNNNNNNNNNNNNNNNNNNNNNNNNNNNNNUCCUGCUAGCUGGAGUCUGAGUUAGAUGCAUCUAAGUUAACGUCAUAACCGCCGUUAACUACGGUUUUCUAAUACGAGCCUCCCAAACCAAUUCAAAAUAUAUAAUUUCAAAUACAACAAAUAUUUGAUCUUUCAAAUAUAUAAGGUAUCGAAUCAAAUCAUAUCAAAUCAAAUCAAAUAAUACUUUUUCAUCAGAAAUCUUUUCUCAAUCAUACUUUUUUAACCAUAAGAGAUUUCAAAUAUAUUUCACAAUUUUUAAAGUGAGUAUCAACAAAUACUUCAAUGCUUAAAAAACAAAUAUUCAAAUAAAAUCAAACAUUUUAGAAUAAUGCAAAACUUCCUCAAAAAUAUAUAUAGUCUCAUGUAUAGUUUCAAAAGUAUAAACUUCAUAAACAAACCCAGAGUGCCAAAUUCAAGGUAAGGAGGAUUGAAGUGGAAUGGAACGAAUGAGCGUAGAAUUUGAAUCGGAGUAGCGACAAGAUAGAGCUGGUUAUAGUUCUCGAUUGUUGAAACUAUAAUCCAAAUGCACCGACGGAACCUUUCCUCUCAACCCGAAAUUGCGGCAGCCACAACCUCAGCUCCAAAUCACUUUCUCAGCAACUACAACGACUCAGACUUAAGGGAAACAAGUAGCGGCAGCACCGGUGGUGGUUCCGGCAACAACAGCACCAUACCCAUUGACCAGAAACCCCGACAGCGGCGGCGGCAGAAGAACGGCGACCUCAAUGUGACUUCCCAGCGGCCAGAGGUGCAGUGGCUCUUGCGGCAGCGGCGAGCCACUCCAACAACCCCUUGUGCAAGCUCUCUUCCUCCGGCAGCGACCUAGACGGCGACGACUCUCCACGGACGGCGGUGGGUCCUCGGCGGCGGUGCAGCUCCAGUGACGGCGGUGCAUGGCGGGAUAGCGUUCCUCUCUUCCUCGAGCUCUCCCUCUCACUGGCGCUCAAGGACAACGGCGAGGGUGGCUUCAAUGGCGGCGGUUGCAGCUCGCGACGACAGAGACGCUCCUCUGCGACGGUGCAGUUGGCAACGAUGGGCAUGAACGGCAGCAGCGACCUCCCUCUCUUCUCCGCGUCAGUGUAGGUGCGUGUGUGUGGGGAUGAGCGACGGCGUGAGGGUGAGUGAGGGGAGUGCGUCCGUGAGUGUGUGUUUCU
Molecule: long non-coding RNA, 6157 nt
Filed under: Arachis ipaensis
Lineage: Eukaryota; Viridiplantae; Streptophyta; Magnoliopsida; Fabales; Fabaceae
Description: long non-coding RNA (AIPA_LNC000108)
Source: RNAcentral